Molecule: ribosomal RNA, 362 nt
Filed under: Diomocoris woodwardi
Lineage: Eukaryota; Metazoa; Arthropoda; Insecta; Hemiptera; Miridae
Description: partial large subunit ribosomal RNA
Source: RNAcentral
AAUGGUUGGAUGAGAAAUAUACUUUCUUUAUUUUAUAUAAAAAAUUUAAUUUUUUGGUUAAAAAGCCAAAAUAUUUUUAUAGGACGAGAAGACCCUAUAGAACUUUAUUUUCUUUUUAUAUAAAUUUUUUAGAUUUAUAUAAUUUUAUAUAAUUAUGUUAAUUUUGUUGGGGUGAUUGAAAAAAAAAAUUAACUUUUUCUAUUUUUUACAUUUAUUUAUGUUAUUUUGAUCCUAUUUUAUGGAAAAAAAGAUUAAGUUACCUUAGGGAUAACAGCGUUAUUUUUUUGGAGAGUUCAUAUCGAUAAAAAAGUUUGCGACCUCGAUGUUGGAUUAAAAUAAGUAAUAGGAGCAUGAAUAUUAUU